Molecule: long non-coding RNA, 334 nt
Filed under: Capsicum annuum
Lineage: Eukaryota; Viridiplantae; Streptophyta; Magnoliopsida; Solanales; Solanaceae
Description: long non-coding RNA (CANN_LNC012616)
Source: RNAcentral
CGGACAGCCUGUCUAACCUCUUCUACCUUAAAACGUCUACAAUAGUUAAAAUCCCGACGCUCCUCUGAGUGCUCCAGUGCCCCUAACACAAGAGCUCUAUCCCCUUCGUCAUUCAAGAGCCUAUGAAAGUACGACUGCCAUCUAUUCUUAAUGUGGCCGUCUUCCACCAACACUCUACCGUCCUCCCCCUUAAUGCACCUCACCUGAUCGAGGUCACGACCCUUCCUCUCCCUAGCCUUAGCGAGUCUAAACAACUUUUUCUCCCCUUCCUUCCCCUGUAACCCUGCAUACAGGCUCUCAAAGGCGGCCGUCUUAGCUGCCGUGACUGCCGUCU